This 253-nucleotide ribosomal RNA is filed under the name uncultured bacterium. RNAcentral's name for it is "partial 16S ribosomal RNA". It matches the Rfam family "Bacterial small subunit ribosomal RNA", at positions 524 to 776 of the family's 1533-position model. The record is from RNAcentral.
UACGUAGGGAGCAAGCGUUGUCCGGAUUUACUGGGUGUAAAGGGUGCGUAGGCGGCUUUGCAAGUCAGAAGUGAAAUCUAUGGGCUUAACCCAUAAACUGCUUUUGAAACUGCAGGGCUUAAGUGAAGUAGAGGUAGGCGGAAUUCCCGGUGUAGCGGUGAAAUGCGUAGAGAUCGGGAGGAACACCAGUGGCGAAGGCGGCCUACUGGGCUUUAACUGACGCUGAGGCACGAAAGCGUGGGUAGCAAACAGG